GUGAGAUUAGAGAUCGAGGGAGGAUCCGACCAUCCAAAUCGGCGGACCUCCGGACAACCUUCAAGUUCGGCACGAUGGCGAUGCAUGUCCGCCCAACCUUCAAAUCGGCAGACAACGACGCAAGGCCGACCAACCUUUAAGUCCGGCACGACGGAGACGCACGGCGGACCGUCCAUAACUUGCAAAUCCUUGUUCGGUAACCAUUAAUACCAAACCUACCCGCAAUCUGGUUGCCGGAGGAUCACGGUACUCUCCAUUGGUUCCGUUCCGUAGCGCCACCCGUUCAGAUCCACCAUUUACGUCGAAGAUACCACAUGUUUAUGCUUUUAUUGAAAGAUUUUGAAAUGGGUUCUAUUUUUCUUUGUUUAUUUAAUAAUUGAUAGGGCUUUUUUUCAAAUCAUAUAUUUUGCUAAUCAAAUAAAUAAUCAUCAGGUUGCAUUUUUAGUUUGUUGAAAAAAUUGUAUUAAUGGUGAGUUUGAUCUCCUGUACAAUGUUUUGAUAAAUUCAUGGUGAAAAUGUCAAGAUUUUGAAUUGUUUACUGGUUGUUUUGGACAUAAGGGAGAAAAAGCUUCAUCUUUCUUUGUUGAUGAUGUUUGCGGUUGGAAAAGGAAACAAUAUGAUCUUGAACGGAUCUGAUUAA
RNAcentral lists this long non-coding RNA (640 nucleotides) under Helianthus annuus (common sunflower). RNAcentral's name for it is "sRNA HanXRQr2_Chr02g0072131". Lineage: Eukaryota; Viridiplantae; Streptophyta; Magnoliopsida; Asterales; Asteraceae. The record is from RNAcentral.